GCAAAAAAGCUAGCCUGAAAAUAAACGUAAAUCUCAGCCAUAAUAAACAACCAAACCCCUCCCCCAAAUAAAACAUUUUUCCUCCCCAGUAUAGGAGAUAGAACAGGACCACAGAGCAAUAGAAAAAGUACCGCAAGGGAAAGCUGAAAGAGAAGUGAAACAACGCAGUUAAGCAAAAAAAAGCAGAGAUUAAUGCUCGUACCUUUUGCAUCAUGGUUUAGCAAGAACCCCCGAGCAAAGAGAACUAUAGUUCGACACCCCGAAACCAGGAGAGCUACCCCAGAGCAGCCCAAAGGGGCCAACCCGUCUCUGUGGCAAAAGAGUGGGAAGACUCUCGGGUAGAGGUGAUAGACCUACCGAGCCUGGUUAUAGCUGGUUGCUUAGGAAAUGAAUAUAAGUUCAACCCUGUUUCUCCCUAAAACUGCAGCAUGCAAAAGCACCAGUAGGACACAGGAGCUAGUCAAAGGAGGUACAGCUCCUUUGAAAAAGAACACAACCUUUACAGGAGGGAAAAGACCAUAUACUACAAGGGACCCUUCCUCAGUGGGCCUGAAAGCAGCCACCUGAAAAGAUAGCGUUAAAGCUCAAGAAGAAUCUUACCGUUAAUUAAUACAAACAGAUCCCGACCCCCUACAAAUACUAAGCCCCCCUAUUAAAAUAGAGAAGACAAUGCUAAAAUUAGUAAUAAGAGGGAAAGCCCCUCUCCCCGCACAGUCGUACGCCAGGCAGGACCCCCCACUGGCAAGUAACGGACCCAAAGAGGGCGACGCAACAUAACCAAAAAAACAAGCAGCCCCUGCCCAAGUAUCCGUUACCCCGACACUGGAGUGCGCCCAGGAAAGACUAAAAGGAAAAGAAGGAACUCGGCAAACCUAAACCUCGCCUGUUUACCAAAAACAUCGCCUCUCGCUAACAAUAGAAGUAUUAGAGGUCCCGCCUGCCCUGUGACAUAAAUGUUUAACGGCCGCGGUAUUUUAACCGCGCGAAGGUAGCGUAAUCACUUGUCUUUUAAAUGGAGACCUGUAUGAAUGGCAUAACGAGGGUUUAACUGUCUCCUUUUCCAAGUCAAUGAAAUUGAUCUGCCCGUGCAGAAGCGGGCCUGAAAACAUAAGACGAGAAGACCCUAUGGAGCUUUAGGCAAACACUCAAGCGACGCCAGGCCCCUCCCCCUAAGAGGAGACAAAACAAGUGCUUCUGAGUGAAAUGCCUUCGGUUGGGGCGACCGUGGAGGAAAGUAAAGCCUCCAAGAAGAACAAGGAAAACCCUUGAGUUAAGAAAAACACCUCUAAACAACAGAAAGUCUGACCAUAAAUGACCCAGAAAACAUCUGAUCAACGAACUAAGUUACCCUAGGGAUAACAGCGCAAUCCUUUCCCAGAGUCCAUAUCGACGAAAGGGCUUACGACCUCGAUGUUGGAUCAGGACAUCCUAAUGGUGCAGCCGCUAUUAAGGGUUCGUUUGUUCAACGAUUAACAGUCCUACGUGAUCUGAGUUCAGACCGGAGUAAUCCAGGUCGGUUUCUAUCUAUGAACCACCUAUCCCUAGUACGAAAGGACCGGGGUAGGGAGGCCUAGGCACACAGCAAGCCUCAUCCCCACCCGCUGAUACCAUAUAAAACGGGUAACUGGAAACCGCGCCACACCAAAGAUAAUGGCAC
This 1657-nucleotide ribosomal RNA is filed under the name Anarchias sp. Ansp. Its description in RNAcentral is "16S rRNA". The stretch from base 89 to 1543 matches the Rfam family "Bacterial large subunit ribosomal RNA". The record is from RNAcentral. Lineage: Eukaryota; Metazoa; Chordata; Actinopteri; Anguilliformes; Muraenidae.